Molecule: unclassified non-coding RNA, 238 nt
Filed under: uncultured fungus
Lineage: Eukaryota; Fungi
Description: sequence contains ITS2
Rfam family: 5.8S ribosomal RNA (bases 1-52)
Source: RNAcentral
AACGCACAUUGCGCCCUCUGGUAUUCCGGGGGGCAUGCCUGUUCGAGCGUCAUUACAACCCUCAAGCUUUGCUUGGUAUUGGGUGCUACCGUUUUUGGUGCACCUUAAAAUCAGUGGCGGUGCCACCUGGCUUCUAGCGUAGUAAUACUCCUCGCUAUGGAGAUGGGUGUGUACUUGCCAUAACCCCUAAUUUUUUAAGGUUGACCUCGGAUCAGGUAGGGAUACCCGCUGAACUUAA